RNAcentral lists this ribosomal RNA (381 nucleotides) under uncultured eukaryote. RNAcentral's name for it is "partial 18S ribosomal RNA". It matches the Rfam family "Eukaryotic small subunit ribosomal RNA", at positions 592 to 975 of the family's 1831-position model. The record is from RNAcentral.
CAAUAGCGUAUAUUAAAGUUGUUGCAGUUAAAAAGCUCGUAGUUGGAUUUCUGGUUGAAGCGACCGGUCGGGCGUUGAUUCGUCUGCACUGGAGUCGGUUUUGGCCAUCCUCUAGGAAAGUGCGUCUGGUAUUAAGUUAUCGGGCGUAUGAUCCUGGUCUUUUACUGUGAAAAAAUUAGAGUGUUUAAAGCAGGCCUUCGCCUUGAAUACAUUAGCAUGGAAUAAUAAGAUAGGACUUUGGUCUAUUUUGUUGGUUUGCAGACCGAAGUAAUGAUUAAUAGGGAUAGUUGAGGGUAUUUAUAUUCCGAUGUCAGAGGUGAAAUUCUUAGAUUUUCGGAAGAUAAACUUAUGCGAAAGCAUUUACCAAGGAUGUUUUCAUUA